Molecule: unclassified non-coding RNA, 299 nt
Filed under: uncultured fungus
Lineage: Eukaryota; Fungi
Description: sequence contains ITS1
Rfam family: 5.8S ribosomal RNA (bases 1-97)
Source: RNAcentral
GAAAUGCGAUACGCAAUGCGAAUUGCAGAACCGUGAGUCAUCAGAUUUUUGAACGCAAGUGGCGGCAGCUUCGGCUGUCAUGUUUGUUUCAGUGUGCCCGGUUAAUUACAUCAUAGAGUAUAAUGUGAUUGAAACCAUUCUCUCACAAAAUACGGAGCACUGUCAGUGUGCACACCUAACGAACUAGUCACUAACAGGUGAUAAUCGUUUAGGAAAGUGUAACCUGGUGAAUCAUUGCUCGAAACUUAAAUUAUCCAAUUAUGACACCUGAAAUAAGCAAGAAGACCUGCUGAACUUAA